AUUGAACGCUGGCGGCAUGCUUUACACAUGCAAGUCGGACGAGUGGCGAACGGGUGAGUAAUAUAUUGGAACGUACCGAGUAAUGGGGGAUAACCAAUCGAAAGAUUGUCUAAUACCGCAUAUUAUUCGUGCGGCCCAUAUCUGAUUAGCUGGUUGGUGGGGUAAAGGCCUACCAAGGAGACGACCAGAAGCGGGUCUGAGAGGAUGAACCGCCACACUGGGACUGAGACACGGCCCAGACUCCUGCGGGAGGCGGCAUUGGGAAAUUUUGGACAAUGGGCGCAAGCCGGAGCCGGCCAGGCCGCGGGUCUGAAGAAGGCCUUCGGGUUGUAAGGGCCUUUUGUGAGGGAAGCGGUACCUAAAGAAUAAGCACCGGCUAACUACGUGCCAGCAGCCGCGGUAAUUC
Molecule: ribosomal RNA, 406 nt
Filed under: uncultured bacterium
Lineage: Bacteria
Description: partial 16S ribosomal RNA
Rfam family: Bacterial small subunit ribosomal RNA
Source: RNAcentral